AAUGAACGCUGGCGGCGUGCCUCAGACAUGCAAGUCGAACGCGAAAUUUCCCUUCGGGGAGAAAGUAGAGUGGCGCACGGGUGAGUAACACGUAGGUAAUUUGCCUUUGGGUGGGGAAUAACUCAGGGAAACUUGAGCUAAUACCGCAUAAUGCAGCGGCUCGACAUCGAGACAGUUGUUAAAGCGGGGAAUUGGAGCAAUCCGACCUCGCGCCUAAAGAGAAGCCUGCGCAGAUUAGCUAGUUGGUAAGGUAAUGGCUUACCAAGGCGACGAUCUGUAACCGGCCUGAGAGGGCGGUCGGUCACACUGACACUGACAUACGGGUCAGACUCCUA
Molecule: ribosomal RNA, 335 nt
Filed under: uncultured bacterium
Lineage: Bacteria
Description: bacterial SSU rRNA
Rfam family: Bacterial small subunit ribosomal RNA
Source: RNAcentral